Molecule: RNase P RNA, 237 nt
Filed under: Woeseiaceae bacterium
Lineage: Bacteria; Pseudomonadati; Pseudomonadota; Gammaproteobacteria; Woeseiales; Woeseiaceae
Description: partial RNase P RNA component class A
Rfam family: Bacterial RNase P class A
About the family: Ribonuclease P (RNase P) is a ubiquitous endoribonuclease, found in archaea, bacteria and eukarya as well as chloroplasts and mitochondria. Its best characterised activity is the generation of mature 5'-ends of tRNAs by cleaving the 5'-leader elements of precursor-tRNAs.
Source: RNAcentral
GGUGCGGUAAGAGCGCACCGCGCGACUGGUAACAGUUCGCGGCAAGGUAAACCCCGCCCGGAGCAAGACCAAAUAGGGGAGUAGGGCAACGCACAACGCCCCCGAGGGGUGUUUGGGUGUUUGCCCACCGUCGGUUCCGAACGGACUCCCGGGUAGGUCGCUUGAGGCAGUCGGUGACGACUGUCCUAGAUGAAUGGUUGUCGAUGACAGAACCCGGCUUAUUGCCGGCUCCGGCUU